AGCUCCGAGGUGUACUAACAUAUAAGAUUGCAAAUCUUAAGAGGCAGACUAAAACCUGCCGGGGCUU
RNAcentral lists this transfer RNA (67 nucleotides) under Pseudoscopelus astronesthidens. RNAcentral describes it as "tRNA-Cys". Lineage: Eukaryota; Metazoa; Chordata; Actinopteri; Scombriformes; Chiasmodontidae. The record is from RNAcentral.